GGGGCAACCUGGUGGCGAGUGGCGAACGGGUGAGUAAUAUAUCGGAACGUGCCCAAUCGUGGGGGAUAACGUAGCGAAAGUUACGCUAAUACCGCAUACGAUCUACGGAUGAAAGCGGGGGAUCGCAAGACCUCGCGCGAAUGGAGCGGCCGAUAUCAGAUUAGGUAGUUGGUGGGGUAAAGGCUCACCAAGCCAACGAUCUGUAGCUGGUCUGAGAGGACGACCAGCCACACUGGAACUGAGACACGGUCCAGACUCCUACGGGAGGCAGCAGUGGGGAAUUUUGGACAAUGGGCGCAAGCCUGAUCCAGCCAUUCCGCGUGCAGGAUGAAGGCCUUCGGGUUGUAAACUGCUUUUGUACGGAACGAAACGGCCUGUCCUAAUACGAUGGGCUAAUGACGGUACCGUAAGAAUAAGCACCGGCUAACUACGUGCCAGCAGCCGCGGUAAUACGUAGGGUGCAAGCGUUAAUCGGAAUUACUGGGCGUAAAGCGUGCGCAGGCGGUUAUAUAAGACAGAUGUGAAAUCCCCGGGCUCAACCUGGGAACUGCAUUUGUGACUGUAUAGCUAGAGUACGGCAGAGGGGGAUGGAGUUCCGCGUGUAGCAGUGAAAUGCGUAGAUAUGCGGAGGAACACCGAUGGCGAAGGCAAUCCCCUGGGCCUGUACUGACGCUCAUGCACGAAAGCGUGGAGCAAACAGGAUUAGAUACCCUGGUAGUCCACGCCCUAAACGAUGUCAGCUGGUUGUUGGGUCUUCACUGACUCAGUAACGAAGCUAACGCGUGAAGUUGACCGCCUGGGGAGUACGGCCGC
RNAcentral lists this ribosomal RNA (813 nucleotides) under uncultured bacterium. Its description in RNAcentral is "bacterial SSU rRNA". It matches the Rfam family "Bacterial small subunit ribosomal RNA", at positions 76 to 889 of the family's 1533-position model. The record is from RNAcentral.